CGCACUGGACGACCAGUGCCUUGCUCAUUCGGGGACGGCCCC
RNAcentral lists this non-coding RNA (42 nucleotides) under Aminobacter sp. RNAcentral describes it as "Guanidine-II sequence". It matches the Rfam family "Guanidine-II riboswitch aptamer (mini-ykkC)". Rfam says of the family: Simpler in structure and has fewer highly conserved nucleotide positions than the ykkC-yxkD leader. Despite this each of its two stem-loop structures directly bind free guanidine. The record is from RNAcentral. Lineage: Bacteria; Pseudomonadati; Pseudomonadota; Alphaproteobacteria; Hyphomicrobiales; Phyllobacteriaceae.